This 395-nucleotide ribosomal RNA is filed under the name uncultured bacterium. RNAcentral's name for it is "partial 16S ribosomal RNA". It matches the Rfam family "Bacterial small subunit ribosomal RNA", at positions 523 to 918 of the family's 1533-position model. The record is from RNAcentral.
AUACGUAGGGUGCAAGCGUUAAUCGGCAUUACUGGGCGUAAAGCGUGCGCAGGCGGUUUUGUAAGACAGUGGUGAAAUCCCCGGGCUCAACCUGGGGACUGCCCAUGUGACGGUAAGGCUGGAGUGCGGGAGAGGGGGAGGGAAUUCCGCGUGUAGCAGGGAAAUGCGGAGAUAUGCGGAGGAACACCGAUGGCGAAGGCAAUCCCCUGGGCCUGCACUGACGCUCAUGCACGAAAGCGUGGGGAGCAAACAGGAUUAGAUACCCUGGUAGUCCACGCCCUAAACGAUGUCAACUGGUUGUUGGGGAUUUAUUUUCUCAGUAACGAAGCUAACGCGUGAAGUUGACCGCCUGGGGAGUACGGCCGCAAGGUUAAAACUCAAAUGAAUUGACGGGG